Molecule: ribosomal RNA, 745 nt
Filed under: uncultured bacterium
Lineage: Bacteria
Description: bacterial SSU rRNA
Rfam family: Bacterial small subunit ribosomal RNA
Source: RNAcentral
AGAGUUUGAUCCUGGCUCAGGACGAACGCUGGCGGCGUGCCUAACACAUGCAAGUCGUACGGAGUUCACUUGGAAGCUUGCUUCCGAAUGAACUUAGUGGCGGACGGGUGAGUAACGCGUGAGCAACCUGCCUCACAGAGGGGGAUAACACACGGAAACGUGUGCUAAUACCGCAUAAUCCGAUGAAGCGGCAUCGCUUUAUCGGCAAAGGAGCAAUCCGCUGUGAGAUGGGCUCGCGUCCGAUUAGAUAGUUGGUGAGGUAACGGCUCACCAAGUCUACGAUCGGUAGCCGGACUGAGAGGUUGGACGGCCACAUUGGGACUGAGACACGGCCCAAACUCCUACGGGAGGCAGCAGUGAGGGAUAUUGCACAAUGGGCGAAAGCCUGAUGCAGCGACGCCGCGUGAGGGAUGACGGUCUUCGGAUUGUAAACCUCUGUCCUUGGUGAAGAAGAAAGUGACGGUAGCCAAGGAGGAAGCCACGGCUAACUACGUGCCAGCAGCCGCAGUAAUACGUAGGUGGCAAGCGUUGUCCGGAAUUACUGGGUGUAAAGGGAGCGCAGGCGGGCUUGCAAGUCAGCUGUGAAAUUCAAGGGCUUAACCCUUGACAUGCAGUUGAAACUACAGGUCUUGAGUGAAGUAGAGGUAGGCGGAAUUCCGAGUGUAGCGGUAAAAUGCGUAGAUAUUCGGAGGAACACCGGUGGCGAAGGCGGCCUACUGGGCUUUUACUGACGCUGAGGCUCGAA